Cyprinodon tularosa is the source of this 818-nucleotide long non-coding RNA. RefSeq lists it as uncharacterized. The transcript has 4 exons. The record is from RefSeq and is a predicted model, not a curated record. Lineage: Eukaryota; Metazoa; Chordata; Actinopteri; Cyprinodontiformes; Cyprinodontidae.
CUAGGGUGUAGCUACUGAUCCCAUACUACUGCACAGAGAGUGAGAGUGGAAGGUAGGUGGGACAUCAGGUGUCACAGCUCCACAGCCCCAGAUGAGGCUGCAUCACCACGACAACCAGGGGUGCCGUCAGGUGGCCUUUGUUAGAAGCUGCCCAUGUGAUUGCAGAUCUUUGUAAAAGGGCUCCAGUCUAAUAUGUUAGAGAUGCUCUCUGAUGCUUACUAGCCAGGCACCCAACCGCCUGCGUCCAGCCAGCAAUCCUGCAGUCUACCAAUCCGUCCAUCCAGCGAAGCGAAGUCCAACACCAGCCAGAACUGGCAACCUGCAGGAGUCAUCAGGCUGCCACAGAUGAAGCGAAGAUAGCAGCGAGAUGAAGAGGCAGAGCUGACUCUAUACCCCCGGGGAGGAUGCAGCGAGGUGGAACCACUUGCCUGCCUCCCAGUAGAGAAAUACUUCCACCAUCAGAGCGCCAUCUGCAGACUCGGUGGGGUGGGACAGCUGGUGUUGUGAAUCAGGCCGCCGUAGUCCAGGGACCGGCUACUUCCCAACACCAGGGUCUCACCCUCACUCCUCACGUCCUAAUGACAUAUGACUUUCUCCUACAUAUUUCACCCUCUACACUCUUUAUUGUUGUAAAGUGGAUGGUUUUGUUCUUUUCACUUUUAUCCAUGCAGAACAUCUUUCUAUUAAUGCUGAAAUUAAUUCUUCUCUGCAUGCAGUAGUGGAGAGAAAAUGUGUCCAAAGUAAAUAAAGAUAUUUUACCACAUGUCUCUUUAAUAUUAAUGGUUGGUAAAGAUUUUUAAUAAAACCAUAUUCAAAUU